RNAcentral lists this non-coding RNA (425 nucleotides) under Desulfuribacillus alkaliarsenatis. RNAcentral describes it as "low GC Gram-positive bacterium strain AHT28 Bacterial small subunit ribosomal RNA". It matches the Rfam family "Bacterial small subunit ribosomal RNA", at positions 1 to 414 of the family's 1533-position model. The record is from Rfam by way of RNAcentral. Lineage: Bacteria; Bacillati; Bacillota; Desulfuribacillia; Desulfuribacillales; Desulfuribacillaceae.
UUAUUGGAGAGUUUGAUCCUGGCUCAGGACGAACGCUGGCGGCGUGCCUAAUACAUGCAAGUCGAGCGGACAGAGAUGAGAGCUUGCUCUUAUCAAAGUUAGCGGCGGACGGGUGAGUAACACGUGGGCAACCUGCCUGUAAGACUGGGAUAACUUCGGGAAACCGAAGCUAAUACCAGAUAACAGUAGAGAGUGCAUACUUUCUAUUUAAAAGAUGCUACGGCAUCACUUACAGAUGGGCCCGCGUCGCAUUAGCUAGUUGGUGAGGUAACGGCUCACCAAGGCAACGAUGCGUAGCCGACCUGAGAGGGUGAUCGGCCACACUGGAACUGAGACACGGUCCAGACUCCUACGGGAGGCAGCAGUAGGGAAUCUUCCGCAAUGGGCGAAAGCCUGACGGAGCAACGCCGCGUGAGCGAAGAAGG